CCUACGGGAGGCAGCAGUGGGGAAUAUUGCACAAUGGGGGAAACCCUGAUGCAGCGACGCCGCGUGCGUGAAGAAGUCAUUCGUUAUGUAAAGCUCUAUCAGCAGGGAAGAAAAUGACGGUACCUGAGUAAGAAGCCCCGUCUAACUACGUGCCAGCAGCCGCGGUAAUACGGAGGGGGCCAGCGUUAUCCGGAUUUACUGGGGGUAAAGGGAGCGUAGACGGCUGUGCAAGUCUGGUGUGAAAGGGGGGGGCUCAACCCGGGGACUGCAGUGGAAACUGGACGGCUGGAGUGCAGGAGAGGUAAGUGGAAUGCGUGGUGUAGCGGUGAAAUGCUUAGAUAUGAGGAGGAACACCAGUGGCGAAGGCGGCUUACUGGACUGGAACUGACGUUGAGGCUCGAAAGCGUGGGUAGCGAACAGGAUUAGAUACCCGAGUAGUC
Molecule: ribosomal RNA, 440 nt
Filed under: uncultured bacterium
Lineage: Bacteria
Description: partial 16S ribosomal RNA
Rfam family: Bacterial small subunit ribosomal RNA
Source: RNAcentral